AGGAGUUUGGAUCCUGGCUCAGAACGAACGCUGGCGGCGUGCUUAACACAUGCAAGUCGAGUGCGCGUCUGUAGCAAUACAGAUGGCGCACGGCGCACGGGUGCGUAACACGUGGGUAAUCUGCCCUUCGAUGGGGAAUAACCUCGCGAAAGCGAGGCUAAUUCCGCAUAACAUUCCUAAGACUUCGGUCCCUGGACUCAAAGCCGUAAGGCGUCGAUGGAGGAACCCGCGCACGAUUAGCUAGUUGGUGAGGUAACGGCUCACCAAGGCUAUGAUCGUUAGCUGGUCUGAGAGGAUGGCCAGCCACACUGGAACUGAGACACGGUCCAGACUCCUACGGGAGGCAGCAGUGGGGAAUCUUGCACAAUGGGCGAAAGCCUGAUGCAGCGACGCCGCGUGGGGGAUGAAGCAUUUCGGUGUGUAAACCCCUUUCGACCGGGAAGAAUGCCUCGCAAGAGGAGUGACGGUACCGGUAUAAGAAGCCCCGGCUAACUACGUGCCAGCAGCCGCGGUAAGACGUAGGGGGCCAGCGUUGUUCGGAAUUACUGGGUGUAAAGGGUUCGUAGGCGGGUGGCAAGUUGGGAGUGAAAUCUCUGGGCUUAACCCAGAGGCUGCUUCCAAAACUGCUGUGCUUGAGUGUGGGAGAGGUGCGUGGAAUUGCAGGUGUACGCGGUGAAAUGCCGUAAUAUCUGCCAGGAACACCCCGUGGCCGGAAAGCGGCGCACUGGACCACAACUGACGCUGAGGAACGAAAGCUAGGGGGAGCAANCAGGGAUUAGAUACCCUGGUAG
RNAcentral lists this ribosomal RNA (791 nucleotides) under uncultured bacterium. Its description in RNAcentral is "bacterial SSU rRNA". It matches the Rfam family "Bacterial small subunit ribosomal RNA", at positions 1 to 793 of the family's 1533-position model. The record is from RNAcentral.